UUAAGUUAUUAAGGGCGCACGGUGGAUGCCUUGGCACUAGAAGCCGAUGAAGGACGUUACUAACGACGAUAUGCUUUGGGGAGCUGUAAGUAAGCUUUGAUCCAGAGAUUUCCGAAUGGGGAAACCCAGCAUGAGUUAUGUCAUGUUAUCGAUAUGUGAAUACAUAGCAUAUCAGAAGGCACACCCGGAGAACUGAAACAUCUUAGUACCCGGAGGAAGAGAAAGAAAAUUCGAUUCCCUUAGUAGCGGCGAGCGAAACGGGAAGAGCCCAAACCAACAAGCUUGCUUGUUGGGGUUGUAGGACACUCUGUACGGAGUUACAAAGGACGACAUUAGACGAAUCAUCUGGAAAGAUGAAUCAAAGAAGGUAAUAAUCCUGUAGUCGAAAAUGUUGUCUCUCUUGAGUGGAUCCUGAGUACGACGGAGCACGUGAAAUUCCGUCGGAAUCUGGGAGGACCAUCUCCUAAGGCUAAAUACUCUCUAGUGACCGAUAGUGAACCAGUACCGUGAGGGAAAGGUGAAAAGCACCCCGGAAGGGGAGUGAAAUAGAACCUGAAACCGUGUGCUUACAAGUAGUCAGAGCCCGUUAAUGGGUGAUGGCGUGCCUUUUGUAGAAUGAACCGGCGAGUUACGAUUUGAUGCAAGGUUAAGCAGUAAAUGUGGAGCCGUAGCGAAAGCGAGUCUGAAUAGGGCGUUUAGUAUUUGGUCGUAGACCCGAAACCAGGUGAUCUACCCUUGGUCAGGUUGAAGUUCAGGUAACACUGAAUGGAGGACCGAACCGACUUACGUUGAAAAGUGAGCGGAUGAACUGAGGGUAGCGGAGAAAUUCCAAUCGAACCUGGAGAUAGCUGGUUCUCUCCGAAAUAGCUUUAGGGCUAGCCUCAAGUGAUGAUUAUUGGAGGUAGAGCACUGUUUGGACGAGGGGCCCCUCUCGGGUUACCGAAUUCAGACAAACUCCGAAUGCCAAUUAAUUUAACUUGGGAGUCAGAACAUGGGUGAUAAGGUCCGUGUUCGAAAGGGAAACAGCCCAGACCACCAGCUAAGGUCCCAAAAUAUAUGUUAAGUGGAAAAGGAUGUGGCGUUGCCCAGACAACUAGGAUGUUGGCUUAGAAGCAGCCAUCAUUUAAAGAGUGCGUAAUAGCUCACUAGUCGAGUGACACUGCGCCGAAAAUGUACCGGGGCUAAACAUAUUACCGAAGCUGUGGAUUGUCCUUUGGACAAUGGUAGGAGAGCGUUCUAAGGGCGUUGAAGCAUGAUCGUAAGGACAUGUGGAGCGCUUAGAAGUGAGAAUGCCGGUUGAGUAGCGAAAGACGGGUGAGAAUCCCGUCCACCGAUUGACUAAGGUUUCCAGAGGAAGGCUCGUCCGCUCUGGGUUAGUCGGGUCCUAAGCUGAGGCCGACAGGCGUAGGCGAUGGAUAACAGGUUGAUAUUCCUGUACCACCUAUAAUCGUUUUAAUCGAUGGGGGGACGCAGUAGGAUAGGCGAAGCGUGCGAUUGGAUUGCACGUCUAAGCAGUAAGGCUGAGUAUUAGGCAAAUCCGGUACUCGUUAAGGCUGAGCUGUGAUGGGGAGAAGACAUUGUGUCUUCGAGUCGUUGAUUUCACACUGCCGAGAAAAGCCUCUAGAUAGAAAAUAGGUGCCCGUACCGCAAACCGACACAGGUAGUCAAGAUGAGAAUUCUAAGGUGAGCGAGCGAACUCUCGUUAAGGAACUCGGCAAAAUGACCCCGUAACUUCGGGAGAAGGGGUGCUCUUUAGGGUUAACGCCCAGAAGAGCCGCAGUGAAUAGGCCCAAGCGACUGUUUAUCAAAAACACAGGUCUCUGCUAAACCGUAAGGUGAUGUAUAGGGGCUGACGCCUGCCCGGUGCUGGAAGGUUAAGAGGAGUGGUUAGCUUCUGCGAAGCUACGAAUCGAAGCCCCAGUAAACGGCGGCCGUAACUAUAACGGUCCUAAGGUAGCGAAAUUCCUUGUCGGGUAAGUUCCGACCCGCACGAAAGGCGUAACGAUUUGGGCACUGUCUCAACGAGAGACUCGGUGAAAUCAUAGUACCUGUGAAGAUGCAGGUUACCCGCGACAGGACGGAAAGACCCCGUGGAGCUUUACUGUAGCCUGAUAUUGAAAUUCGGCACAGCUUGUACAGGAUAGGUAGGAGCCUUUGAAACGUGAGCGCUAGCUUACGUGGAGGCGCUGGUGGGAUACUACCCUAGCUGUGUUGGCUUUCUAACCCGCACCACUUAUCGUGGUGGGAGACAGUGUCAGGCGGGCAGUUUGACUGGGGCGGUCGCCUCCUAAAAGGUAACGGAGGCGCUCAAAGGUUCCCUCAGAAUGGUUGGAAAUCAUUCAUAGAGUGUAAAGGCAUAAGGGAGCUUGACUGCGAGACCUACAAGUCGAGCAGGGUCGAAAGACGGACUUAGUGAUCCGGUGGUUCCGCAUGGAAGGGCCAUCGCUCAACGGAUAAAAGCUACCCCGGGGAUAACAGGCUUAUUUCCCCCAAGAGUUCACAUCGACGGGGAGGUUUGGCACCUCGAUGUCGGCUCAUCGCAUCCUGGGGCUGUAGUCGGUCCCAAGGGUUGGGCUGUUCGCCCAUUAAAGCGGUACGCGAGCUGGGUUCAGAACGUCGUGAGACAGUUCGGUCCCUAUCCGUCGUGGGCGUAGGAAAUUUGAGAGGAGCUGUCCUUAGUACGAGAGGACCGGGAUGGACAUACCUCUGGUGUACCAGUUGUCGUGCCAACGGCAUAGCUGGGUAGCUAUGUGUGGACGGGAUAAGUGCUGAAAGCAUCUAAGCAUGAAGCCCCCCUCAAGAUGAGAUUUCCCAACUUCGGUUAUAAGAUCCCUCAAAGAUGAUGAGGUUAAUAGGUUCGAGGUGGAAGCAUGGUGACAUGUGGAGCUGACGAAUACUAAUCGAUCGAAGACUUAAUCAA
This 2920-nucleotide ribosomal RNA is filed under the name Staphylococcus aureus DAR2072. RNAcentral describes it as "bacterial LSU rRNA". It matches the Rfam family "Bacterial large subunit ribosomal RNA". The record is from RNAcentral. Lineage: Bacteria; Bacillati; Bacillota; Bacilli; Caryophanales; Staphylococcaceae.